Molecule: long non-coding RNA, 840 nt
Organism: Mytilus californianus (California mussel)
Lineage: Eukaryota; Metazoa; Mollusca; Bivalvia; Mytilida; Mytilidae
Exons: 3
Source: RefSeq, a predicted model, not a curated record
AGGUAUCAAAAUUACUCAACUUAAUGAUGUUAGCAGUAAUGGUGCACGUGCAAUUUGCCAACCACAAAAGCCGCUGAGUACUGAACAGUUGUAUAACAGGUCACCAGCAGUAGAGACGAGAAAACGUUCUUCAGAUGAAAAAUUAAAGAAUGGUAGGACAGAUGUUAAAGCUGAAGGAGGAAAGUCAAGAAAAAAGAAGAAACGGUUAGCAUCAGACGCAACAAUAAAGAAAGGCUCUUAAAUCUAUUUAUAAUUUUUUUUGUAUAGAUAUAUUAGACAAAUUGUUAAGGAUGUCAGCAAGGACUAUUUUAGAUGCUGACAUAAUGACACAAUUGUGACGGAUAUUGGUUAAACUGUUUAUUGUUCUAAUCGAUUCAUCGGUCAGGGAUAUCAUAUGACAUUAACCCGUUAACAUAGGGAACCAGCUAUAAUAUUUCUAAUAUGUCAAAUCACUACUGUUGUUUAAACUAAUGUCUGUUACAUAUAUAAUUUUAUACUAUACAAUACAAUCUAUGGAUGACCACGCCACACAAUUAUCAUUUCCUUUCACUAGUUUGUAAUUAUUUCUUUUUAGAAAACAUUAAUAUCAGAAAGGAAAUCUGUAUUAAAAUUGUAUAAGAACUAAACGUCACGUUUCUGAAAAUGAAGCAUCAUUUUAUUUGAGUGUAUAGUAUUCGUUUAUUGUAUGCUGUAGUCAUGCAUUUGACUUGAGUAUGAAGUACACCAGGCAGAGGGCAGCUUUUGAUGAAAAGAAUAUUCCUUUUGUAAUAUAUUUGUUUUUAAUUGAUUUAUCUAAAAUCGAAAUUUCUCUAAUAAAUACUUGAAAAGUUAUUAAUACUA